AGUGAACGCUGGCGGUAGGCCUAACACAUGCAAGUCGAACGGCAACACAGUAAGAGCUUGCUCUUACGGGUGGCGAGUGGCGGACGGGUGAGGAAUACAUCGGAAUCUACUUUUUCGUGGGGGAUAACGUAGGGAAACUUACGCUAAUACCGCAUACGACCUACGGGUGAAAGCAGGGGAUCUUCGGACCUUGCGCGAUUGAAUGAGCCGAUGUCGGAUUAGCUAGUUGGCGGGGUAAAGGCCCACCAAGGCGACGAUCCGUAGCUGGUCUGAGAGGAUGAUCAGCCACACUGGAACUGAGACACGGUCCAGACUCCUACGGGAGGCAGCAGUGGGGAAUAUUGGACAAUGGGCGCAAGCCUGAUCCAGCCAUACCGCGUGGGUGAAGAAGGCCUUCGGGUUGUAAGGCCCUUUUGUUGGGAAAGAAAAGCAGCAGGUUAAUACCCCGCUGUUCUGACGGUACCCAAAGAAUAAGCACCGGCUAACUUCGUG
Molecule: ribosomal RNA, 492 nt
Filed under: uncultured bacterium
Lineage: Bacteria
Description: partial 16S ribosomal RNA
Rfam family: Bacterial small subunit ribosomal RNA
Source: RNAcentral